This 466-nucleotide ribosomal RNA is filed under the name uncultured bacterium. RNAcentral describes it as "partial 16S ribosomal RNA". It matches the Rfam family "Bacterial small subunit ribosomal RNA", at positions 28 to 507 of the family's 1533-position model. The record is from RNAcentral.
GACGAACGCUGGCGGCGCGCCUAACACAUGCAAGUCGAACGAGCGAGAGAGAGCUUGCUUUCUUGAGCGAGUGGCGAACGGGUGAGUAACGCGUGAGGAACCUGCCUCAAAGAGGGGGACAACAGUUGGAAACGACUGCUAAUACCGCAUAAGCCCACGGUGCCGCAUGGCACAGAGGGAAAAGGAGCAAUCCGCUUUGAGAUGGCCUCGCGUCCGAUUAGCUAGUUGGUGAGGUAACGGCCCACCAAGGCGACGAUCGGUAGCCGGACUGAGAGGUUGAACGGACACAUUGGGGCUGAGACACGGCCCAGACUCCUACGGGAGGCAGCAGUGGGGAAUAUUGCACAAUGGAGGAAACCCUGAUGCAGCGACGACGCGUGGAGGAAGAAGGUCUGCGGAUUGUAAACUCCUGUUGUUGGGGAAGAUAAUGACGGUACCCAACAAGGAAGUGACGGCUAACUACGUG